CACCCCGUUUUGUCUUCUCCCACCCCCCUCCAUAAACUUUAUACAGCGUUGUUCUGAUGUACGGGUACCUGUAGCUCAAAUGGCAAUCGGGGUAAACAAGGGACAGGGGGCAGGGACUGAGCCAUUGUUUCCUUGGCAGCCUCGAACGCCUGUUGUUCUGGAUACCACGGAAAAGUUGCUUCCCCACCCCCAGUUACUUUGUGUAGGGGUCGCAGGCAGCAGGACCGUUAGGUGUGGUAUGUGCCGCCUCCAGUAGCCUAAUUGCCCCGCAAACCUUUGGGUCUCUUGCUUAUUUGUGGAGGUAGCCAUUUCAGCCAUUUUAUUUCGGUUCUUUUUUCCCGGAUCACUUAAGGUCCCGAGACACACUGCAUGCCCAGGACUUCCUGACUCGGUCCCCUGUAUUUUCUAUGGAUCCAUUCCUUAUGCGGCUUACCAGCACGUCCAGGACUCCAGCUAUUCCCUCCUCAGUGGGUUCUCGGAGCAGGAGGGCUGUCUGUAUAAUCAGGUGACAGCUUACUGGGGAUGCAUCGAGAUCUCGAGCUUUCAGACCAUGGCACAAGAUUUAACAUCAAAUACUGAUGUUCACAAACCUUUUAAGAAUAUAAGGAUCAAAGGGAAAGAAGCAAUCCAGCGGAUUAGUGCAAACCUGCACCAAGUCACCUCCAACACCACUCCUGACAAUUGGAUUAUUUGGAUUCUGAAGCAUCUUCCAAAGAUGUUCCAGGAAAGCCUCUGCCAGUCCCUGAAAAAUUGCAACAAGGAUGAUGCAAGCAGUAUGGGUGAUCGUUAUAUAACUGUACACUCUCAAGAAGAUAGUAUCUGUUGCUAAGGACUGUCACCAUCUGGGACCUGCCCUCCACUCGUUACUGCCAGCAGGGAAAAGAUACAGGAGCCUGAAGGUGCACAAUCAAUGAUUAAGAAGCAACUUCUCUUCCUCUGCCAUCAGAUUUUAGUAUGGUCCAUGAACACUACUUGGCUUUUCAUUUUUUGCACCAUUUAUUUUGUUUUUUUUUAAAAUUUUGAUGCUUUCAUUACUGUACUGCUGCCAGAAAACAAAUUUCAUGUUAUAUAGGAAUGACAAUAAGUAUGACUCCGAUAUCUGUAUUUAUCCAUUAGUCAUUAAAAAACAAUGAGGGAUGGGGUCUAUGUAAAAUUCUGCAAUAUCUCUUCAUUUACUCUUGAUUUUCAAACCCUAAAAUCAAUUCAUGAAUUAUUUGGC
Mobula hypostoma (lesser devil ray) is the source of this 1219-nucleotide long non-coding RNA. RefSeq lists it as uncharacterized. The record is from RefSeq and is a predicted model, not a curated record. The transcript has 4 exons. NCBI's taxonomy places the organism in Eukaryota, Metazoa, Chordata, Chondrichthyes, Myliobatiformes, Myliobatidae.